UACGGAGGGGGCUAGCGUUGUUCGGAAUUACUGGGCGUAAAGCGCGCGUAGGCGGCUUUGCAAGUCGGGUGUGAAAUCCCCAGGCUUAACCUGGGAACUGCAUCCGAGACUGCAUUGCUAGAGUAUGGGAGAGGGAAGUGGAAUUUCAGGUGUAGCGGUGAAAUGCGUAGAUAUUCGGAAGAACACCAGUGGCGAAGGCGACUUACUGGACGACUGUUGACGCUGAGGUGCGAAAGCGUGGGGAGCAAACAGG
This 253-nucleotide ribosomal RNA is filed under the name uncultured bacterium. Its description in RNAcentral is "partial 16S ribosomal RNA". It matches the Rfam family "Bacterial small subunit ribosomal RNA", at positions 524 to 776 of the family's 1533-position model. The record is from RNAcentral.